This 280-nucleotide long non-coding RNA is filed under the name Mytilus galloprovincialis (Mediterranean mussel). Lineage: Eukaryota; Metazoa; Mollusca; Bivalvia; Mytilida; Mytilidae. The record is from RNAcentral.
UGUGCCUGUCCCAAGUUAGGAGCCUGUAGUUCAGUGGUUUCGUUGGUAUAUGUUUUACAUUUUGUUUAUCGUUCAUUUUUUUAUAUGAAUAAGGCCGUUAGUUUUUCUCGUUUAAAUUGUUUUACAUGGUCAUCUUGGGGCCUUUUAUAGCUGACUAUGCGAUAUGGGCUUUGUUCAUUGUUGAAGGCCGUGCGGUGACCUAGAGUUGUUAAUUUCUGUGUCAUUUUGGUUUCUUGUGGUGAACUGUCUCAUUGGCAAUCAUACCACAUCUUCUUUUUUU